Long non-coding RNA from Mus pahari (shrew mouse), 1456 nucleotides. RefSeq lists it as uncharacterized. The transcript has 3 exons. NCBI's taxonomy places the organism in Eukaryota, Metazoa, Chordata, Mammalia, Rodentia, Muridae. The record is from RefSeq and is a predicted model, not a curated record.
AUAUGAGACUUACCGAUUUUCUGUCCUUCUAGAUGGAAGAAGAUAAGGGUUCAGUCGGCUCAGCAUAUGAAUCUGCUGAAAGCCAGCACAGAGGGGAGGACAGUAGGCACCUGCUAGCUGAGGCUGGCAGCCAGCAGGACAGAGGUUGCGUGCACUAGCUUGCUGAAACACAUUCAAGUGUCAAGUGCUUGGACUCCAUAUGCUGUUUCCCAGAAGGAGAGACCCCGUGUGCAUCUGUUGGAAGAGUGCUGGAACGAGUCAUAGGACGGUGUAGUCCCAACCAUAUCAGCAGGUUGUGGAAUGCAUCGGAUCCAUUCUAUACCAAUGACAGGAGCAUCUUGACUCUCUCGCCAAUGGACUCAUCUACUUGUUAAAGGGACAGUAGGACUUUGUGGAACAAGUUCACUGGUCCUCAGGUUUGGAGUCACCAUCCAGUUAUAAAAGGCCAGUUACUUUCUGAAAUCUCUGGAGGAAUUGAGACUUUCUCAGAGUCCAUGGGAAACAGGCAGUUAUAUGAACCCUUCUCCUCUCUCUUUAAUUUGAAUGUGAAUAUAUUAAAAUUUGGAGAUAAAGCGAUAGUAACAAUCUCUUUGUCUUGUUUGUCUCUUCUGAUCAUAGGACUCCUGGUGGCAUUGCAGCCUUUGCUGAGGCCACUGUACUUUAAUAUCAAGGUAGAGAAAGGGGUCACUCUUGGUUAUGUGUAGUGUAAGAUGAGUGUGGUUUGGGACUCUUCUAUUUAAAUCUGCUUCUGUAAAUUAUGCUAAAGAUUUGCCAUGAGAACUCUAUUUUUUUUAUUAGAUUAUAUUUGAAGCUUUUCGUGGGGAAAGUUAAUGUGAAUAUCAAGGAAUUUUGGUCCUUCAGUGACCUCUGUUAAUCCAUUAGUACUUUUUAAGUCACAGAGCAACCAGGAGAGCACGUUUCUAACAUUGUCUUUUGUGGUGUGGGUAGUAAGCUUAUACUGACCCCACUUAUUUAACGAUGCUGUAACCCAACCAGUGAAGCUAAUCCUCCAAGUGCAAAGAGAGUUUUGCAUCUCAUGUCAAAGUCAGAAUUAGGGCCAUUUACUAGACUUCAAAUUGGUGUUUGCUAAUAUUUUUGUGGCCAAGUAUGUAAACUUGUAGUGGGUAAAUUCAAUACCUUUGUCAUAUUAAUUCACUGUAUCUGUCUUAUCUUUUGCAUGCUUCAACCUGGCUAAUAUAUUUAAAUGCACCGCACCUCUCCUCCCUCCCCCAUUAUUGCUUUCCUCCUCUCCAAAGACUCUGUUCAUAGUUUUAUGACAAUAUUGUAAGUUCAGUUGUAUCAAUAAAAAAAAACAAGUUUGGACAGUAUUUAAAUAUUGCAAAUAUAUUUAAUUAUAUAAAUUGAAAUAUAAGCCAUAAAGUCUUUCUUGGCCCACUUAGAAUUGCUCUUGACUUGCUGUAAACCAGCCUUCAGAAUAAAGGACUUUUGUUAAGAA